RNAcentral lists this ribosomal RNA (724 nucleotides) under uncultured bacterium. RNAcentral describes it as "bacterial SSU rRNA". It matches the Rfam family "Bacterial small subunit ribosomal RNA", at positions 356 to 1072 of the family's 1533-position model. The record is from RNAcentral.
GGGGAAUAUUGGACAAUGGGCGAAAGCCUGAUCCAGCCAUGCCGCGUGUGUGAAGAAGGUCUUCGGAUUGUAAAGCACUUUAAGUUGGGAGGAAGGGCAUUAACCUAAUACGUUAGUGUUUUGACGUUACCGACAGAAUAAGCACCGGCUAACUCUGUGCCAGCAGCCGCGGUAAUACAGAGGGUGCAAGCGUUAAUCGGAAUUACUGGGCGUAAAGCGCGCGUAGGUGGUUUGUUAAGUUGGAUGUGAAAUCCCCGGGCUCAACCUGGGAACUGCAUUCAAAACUGACUGACUAGAGUGUGGUAGAGGGUGGUGGAAUUUCCUGUGUAGCGGUGAAAUGCGUAGAUAUAGGAAGGAACACCAGUGGCGAAGGCGACCACCUGGACCAACACUGACACUGAGGUGCGAAAGCGUGGGGAGCAAACAGGAUUAGAUGCCCUGGUAGUCCACGCCGUAAACGAUGUCAACUAGCCGUUGGAAGCCUUGAGCUUUUAGUGGCGCAGCUAACGCAUUAAGUUGACCGCCUGGGGAGUACGGCCGCAAGGUUAAAACUCAAAUGAAAUGACGGGGGCCCGCACAAGCGGUGGAGCAUGUGGUUUAAUUCGAAGCAACGCGAAGAACCUUACCAGGCCUUGACAUCCAAUGAACUUUCUAGAGAUAGAUUGGUGCCUUCGGGAACAUUGAGACAGGUGCUGCAUGGCUGUCGUCAGCUCGUGUCGUGAGA